AUGUAUCUGCGCUAUGCUACCCUGCGCCCUGUCGACUUCAAGCUCUCAUGUGUACACUGCCUUGAAUCAACCUCGCGUCUUAGUCUUGUCGAAGCCGCACAAGCCCUCAAGCCUGCACCACGUGCUUCCACGCUCCAGAAGUCGGCACCAUCAGCAUCACGCUCCUAUGUCAUCGUCGCUGAAAUCACUGCCGUCUUCAGCUUUGACCGAUAUCCCUGUCGAUCCGUCAGACAUUCCAGUCCGACCCAGCCGAAAUUAUCCGACUGCAAUCAUGCUUCACCCUGCGUCGUUUUCCACCCGCACAUCUCGGUGCAUUGCUUUGACGCCCUGUAUAUGCAUGAUCGUGCCACGACGCGCUCCAGACUCCUGCUUUGA
RNAcentral lists this ribosomal RNA (375 nucleotides) under Triticum aestivum (bread wheat). RNAcentral's name for it is "partial small subunit ribosomal RNA". The record is from RNAcentral. Lineage: Eukaryota; Viridiplantae; Streptophyta; Magnoliopsida; Poales; Poaceae.